This 412-nucleotide ribosomal RNA is filed under the name uncultured bacterium. Its description in RNAcentral is "partial 16S ribosomal RNA". It matches the Rfam family "Bacterial small subunit ribosomal RNA", at positions 355 to 758 of the family's 1533-position model. The record is from RNAcentral.
UGGGGAAUAUUGCACAAUGGGCGCAAGCCUGAUGCAGCCAUGCCGCGUGUGUGAAGAAGGCCUUCGGGUUGUAAAGCACUUUCAGCGAGGAGGAAGGUGGUGAGCUUAAUACGCUCAUCAAUUGACGUUACUCGCAGAAGAAGCACCGGCUAACUCCGUGCCAGCAGCCGCGGUAAUACGGAGGGUGCAAGCGUUAAUCGGAAUUACUGGGCGUAAAGCGCACGCAGGCGGUUUGUUAAGUCAGAUGUGAAAUCCCCGGGCUCAACCUGGGAACUGCAUUUGAAACUGGCAAGCUAGAGUCUCGUAGAGGGGGGCUAGAAUUCCAGGUGUAGCGGUGAAAUGCGUAGAGAUCUGGAGGAAUACCGGUGGCGAAGGCGGCCCCCUGGACGAAGACUGACGCUCAGGUGCGAAA